This 440-nucleotide long non-coding RNA is filed under the name Oryza brachyantha (malo sina). Its description in RNAcentral is "long non-coding RNA (OBRA_LNC000071)". The record is from RNAcentral. Lineage: Eukaryota; Viridiplantae; Streptophyta; Magnoliopsida; Poales; Poaceae.
GGGAUGUAUAGACCUUUUCCUAUUAAAUAACAAUUGCAUAGAAGUGAUUACAUCCCUAUCGUCAUGAAGAAAGGGAAACGUAAAACCGCUAAUAUAAAAAGAGAUAACAAGACUUUGGACGCUACAAGAGAUAUCAUAAUUAAUGCUGACCAAGCCUGACACAAGCACUAGGAUGCAAAGGAUUAUCGAUCAUCGUGGGCUAAUUGUUUGACAAUUUAUACGAGAAAAAAUCAAACUGUAUAUUUAUAAACAUAAAAUAACUUAUAAAAAAAUAUAUAUGUAUUUUUAAUGUUCUAAAAGUUAAUGCUGAAAAAUAAAUUUAGGUGGAAAACCUUUAAAAGUAAUUUUACAUUUAAUAUUAAAAAUUUAAAAACUGACCUAUAAACAUAAACAUAACUGAAUCGAUUGGAGUUCAUAUUCUCUGUUCAUUUGGCAAGUUG